RNAcentral lists this ribosomal RNA (506 nucleotides) under uncultured bacterium. RNAcentral's name for it is "bacterial SSU rRNA". It matches the Rfam family "Bacterial small subunit ribosomal RNA", at positions 8 to 526 of the family's 1533-position model. The record is from RNAcentral.
AGAGUUUGAUCCUGGCUCAGGAUGAACGCUGGCGGCGUGCUUAACACAUGCAAGUCGAACGAUGAUGCCCAGCUUGCUGGGUGGAUUAGUGGCGAACGGGUGAGUAACACGUGAGCAACCUGCCCUUGACUCUGGGAUAAGCCUGGGAAACUGGGUCUAAUACCGGAUAGUACUCCUCAUCGCAUGGUGGGGGGUGGAAAGCCUUGUGCGGUCUUGGAUGGGCUCGCGGCCUAUCAGCUUGUUGGUGGGGUGAUGGCCUACCAAGGCGACGACGGGUAGCCGGCCUGAGAGGGUGACCGGCCACACUGGGACUGAGACACGGCCCAGACUCCUACGGGAGGCAGCAGUGGGGAAUAUUGCACAAUGGGCGGAAGCCUGAUGCAGCGACGCCGCGUGGGGGAUGACGGCCUUCGGGUUGUAAACCCCUUUCAGCAGGGAAGAAGCGUGAGUGACGGUACCUGCAGAAGAAGCGCCGGCUAACUACGUGCCAGCCGCCGCGGUAAUAC